This is a long non-coding RNA of Physella acuta, 325 nucleotides long. RefSeq lists it as uncharacterized. The record is from RefSeq and is a predicted model, not a curated record. NCBI's taxonomy places the organism in Eukaryota, Metazoa, Mollusca, Gastropoda, Physidae.
GCUCAGCAGACCACGUUCCUAACGUACAACAACAAAAAAUACGAAAGGGAGUUUUUGUGUUUGACUGAAGGAAAAUCUUACGCUGAAUUUUCUUGCUUGACUUUGAUUAAAAUCCCACUUGAAUGGCCUCACCGUGUGUGUGGAUGCUGUUGACCACCCUAUUGGUAAUCACGUCUAAUGGCCUGUCGGAAGCUUGACAAACCAGAAACAUGCACCGUGCGAGGGGUGGAGUACAAGCUGUUUGAGCCUAUCAGGGGUGUCAUUAAAGACCCCUGCUCUGUCUACAUCUGCGUAGCAGACGACACUCUAAGGAAACUCAACGAUG